UACGUAGGUGACAAGCGUUGUCCGGAUUUACUGGGCGUAAAGAGCGCGCAGGCGGUCGAUCAAGUCGAGUGUGAAAGCCCCCGGCUCAACUGGGGAGGGUCAUUCGAUACUGAUCGACUCGAAGGCAGGAGAGGGUAGUGGAAUUCCCGGUGUAGUGGUGAAAUGCGCAGAUAUCAGGAGGAACACCGGUGGCGAAGGCGGAUCUCUGGGCCAUUACUGACGCUGAGGAGCGAAAGCGUGGGGAGCGAACAGG
Molecule: ribosomal RNA, 253 nt
Filed under: uncultured bacterium
Lineage: Bacteria
Description: partial 16S ribosomal RNA
Rfam family: Bacterial small subunit ribosomal RNA
Source: RNAcentral